RNAcentral lists this ribosomal RNA (313 nucleotides) under uncultured Planctomycetota bacterium. RNAcentral describes it as "bacterial SSU rRNA". It matches the Rfam family "Bacterial small subunit ribosomal RNA", at positions 64 to 364 of the family's 1533-position model. Lineage: Bacteria; Pseudomonadati; Planctomycetota. The record is from RNAcentral.
GAACGAGGAUAUAUCCUUCGGGAUAUAAGCCGAGUGGCGGAAGGGUGAGUAAUGCAUAGACAACUUGCCUUUAGGAUAAGAAUAACUCUGUGAAAGCGGAGCUAAUACUUAAUAAUACAAAGAAAAGGAUCUUUUCUUUGUCAAAAAAGGGUAUUUAUACCUUUUACCUAAAGAGGGGUUUAUGUCCUAUCAGCUUGUUGGUGGGGUAACGGCCUACCAAGGCGAAGACGGGUAACCGGCCUUAGAGGGUAGUCGGUCACACUGGAACUGAGACACUGUCCAGACUUCUACGGAAGGCUGCAGUCGAGAAUCU